AUACGUAGGUGGCAAGCGUUAUCCGGAAUUAUUGGGCGUAAAGCGCAUGUAGGCGGCCAAUUAAGUCUGAUGUGAAAGCUAGUGGCUCAACCACUAAAUUGCAUUGGAAACUGAUUGGCUAGAAUCUUGGAGAGGUAAGUGGAAUUCCAUGUGUAGCGGUGGAAUGCGUAGAUAUAUGGAGGAACACCGGUGGCGAAAGCGGUUUUCUAGUUUAUUCCUGACGCUGAGACGCGAGAGCAAGGGGAGCAAACAGGAUUAGAUACCCUGGUAGUCCUUGCCGUAAACGAUGCAUACUUGGUGUAGUUGGGCUCAACCCCGACUGUGCCGUAGCUAACGCGUUAAGUAUGCCACCUGGGGAGUACGCCCGCAAGGGUGAAACUCAAAAGAAUUGACGGGGCCCGCACAAGCAGUGGAGCAUGUGGUUUAAUUCGAUGCAACGCGAAGAACCUUACCCAGGCUUGACAUGUAGAGGACCGCACUAGAGAUAGUGUUUCCCGCAAGGG
Molecule: ribosomal RNA, 503 nt
Filed under: uncultured Simkaniaceae bacterium
Lineage: Bacteria; Pseudomonadati; Chlamydiota; Chlamydiia; Parachlamydiales; Simkaniaceae
Description: bacterial SSU rRNA
Rfam family: Bacterial small subunit ribosomal RNA
Source: RNAcentral